Cervus elaphus (red deer) is the source of this 831-nucleotide long non-coding RNA. RefSeq lists it as uncharacterized. The transcript has 3 exons. The record is from RefSeq and is a predicted model, not a curated record. Lineage: Eukaryota; Metazoa; Chordata; Mammalia; Artiodactyla; Cervidae.
UCCCAUGGACGGAGGAGCCUGGUGGGCUACAGUCCACGGGGUCGCAAAGAGUCAGACACGACUGAGCGACUUAACUAAGAAGGACUUUGGGAAAAGAGGGUAUGAACCAGGUACGAAUGCAGGAAUAAACAAGGGCCAGUCAGGGAGCUUGGAUCCCCACCACCAAGUGUCAGCCUGGGGACAGGGACCUGGAAGAAGAGCUAAUACACCAGAGGGAAGAAAAUCAAGCUUCUCAUUUCGCCACUCUUAAGGAGUUUUCUCUUCUUCUGCAAACAGUUCUUCAUGCAGAAGGCCCCUUUUUCUUCCCCAUCAUCCUGUGCAAGUUUCUGGGGCCUCUGAAUUGAGUUCUGGGGCAUCCCCGGAAUUUGUCUCAUCUGUUCUUAAGUCUUUUUCAGAGGAGAAGUUGCUGGAAGUCAUGCCCACCGUGGUGGCAGAGAGCCAGUGAUUGCAGAGGGCAGUUUGGGACUGAUCCAUUAUCCCACCCCCACCCACUGCCAGACCAGGUUCCAGUCCUCCUCCCCCAACUGCCGCUGUUCCUUGGUUGUGUAUAUGGGGCUCUCCAGCCAAUUCCUCUGAAUCCUGGUUUCCGCAGAAGUCAAAUAUAAACCACAGAAAAAAGAAAAGACCCAGAAAUAAAUCUAUAAGAGGUUUGAAAGGACUCAGGCAAUGCCCAAGGAUGGAUGCCCCCAUGGAAAUCCCUAGAUUCCCAGCUCUGGGACAACCCCACUUUAUUGGAGUCAGUCCUGCUUUGGAAGCAUCUGAUACUGACUCUGCAUGAGCCUCUUGAUGAGGGUGAAAGAGGAGAGUGAAAAAAAAUAACUUAAAACUCAG